UACGAAGGGUGCAAGCGUUGUUCGGAUUUAUUGGGCCUAAAGCAUCCGUAGCCGGUCCUGCAAGUCUUCCGUUAAAUCCAGCUGCUCAACAGAUGGGCUGCGGGGGAUACUACAGGGCUAGGAGGCGGGAGAGGCAAGCGGUACUUAGUGGGUAGGGGUAAAAUCCGUUGAUCCAUUGAAGACCACCAGUGGCGAAGGCGGCUUGCCAGAACGCACUCGACGGUGAGGGAUGAAAGCUGGGGGAGCAAACCGG
RNAcentral lists this ribosomal RNA (253 nucleotides) under uncultured bacterium. Its description in RNAcentral is "partial 16S ribosomal RNA". It matches the Rfam family "Bacterial small subunit ribosomal RNA", at positions 524 to 776 of the family's 1533-position model. The record is from RNAcentral.